RNAcentral lists this unclassified non-coding RNA (265 nucleotides) under Hevea brasiliensis (rubber tree). Lineage: Eukaryota; Viridiplantae; Streptophyta; Magnoliopsida; Malpighiales; Euphorbiaceae. The record is from RNAcentral.
UGAGAGAGAUAGGGAUAGCAGGGGGAGUAGAGAGGAAAGAAAGAAAGAAAGAAGCUAACUUUUCUUUCACCAACUACAAAUAAUUACUCGUUGGAAGGCUUCUUUUUUCUAGCUUUAGAGAUUGAUGAAGAUGAGGAUCCUUUAUUAAAGAAACCAUAAUAAAAGAAACAAAUUAGGGCCGGGCAUGUCUAAAGUUCCUCCUCUUAGCUGAUCUUAGGUGUAAUGCAAAUGCUUUGAGUGGUGUAUUAUUACUAUUAUAAUUGUG